UGGGGGAUUUUGCACAAUGGGCGCAAGCCUGAUGCAGCGACGCCGCGUGAGGGAUGAAGGCCUUCGGGUUGUAAACCUCUUUCGCUGGGUUGAAAGGCCAUGCUUUGGGUGUGGUUGAUUUGAACUGGUAAAGAAGUACCGGCUAACUACGUGCCAGCAGCCGCGGUAAUACGUAGGGUACUAGCGUUGUCCGGAUUUAUUGGGCGUAAAGGGCUUGUAGGUGGUUUGUCGCGUCUGUCGUGAAAUCCUGUGGCUUAACCAUGGGCUUGCGGUGGGUACGGGCAGGCUUGAGUGCGGUAGGGGAGACUGGAAUUCCUGGUGUAGCGGUUGAAUGCGCAGAUAUCAGGAGGAACACCGGUGGCGAAGGCGGGUCUCUGGGCCGUUACUGACACUGAGGAGCGAAAGCGUGGGGAGCGAACAUG
Molecule: ribosomal RNA, 422 nt
Filed under: Fusobacteriota bacterium
Lineage: Bacteria; Fusobacteriati; Fusobacteriota
Description: Fusobacteria bacterium partial 16S ribosomal RNA
Rfam family: Bacterial small subunit ribosomal RNA
Source: RNAcentral